AGUGAACGCUGGCGGUAGGCCUAACACAUGCAAGUCGAACGGCAGCACAGUAAGAGCUUGCUCUUACGGGUGGCGAGUGGCGGACGGGUGAGGAAUACAUCGGAAUCUACUUUUUCGUGGGGGAUAACGUAGGGAAACUUACGCUAAUACCGCAUACUACCUACGGGUGAAAGCAGGGGAUCUUCGGACCUUGCGCGAUUGAAUGAGCCGAUGUCGGAUUAGCUAGUUGGCGGGGUAAAGGCCCACCAAGGCGACGAUCCGUAGCUGGUCUGAGAGGAUGAUCAGCCACACUGGAACUGAGACACGGUCCAGACUCCUACGGGAGGCAGCAGUAGGGAAUAUUGGACAAUGGGCGAAAGCCUGAUCCAGCCAUACCGCGUGGGUGAAGAAGGCCUUCGGGUUGUAAAGCCCUUUUGUUGGGAAAGAAAAGCAGCAGGUUAAUACCCCGCUGUUCUGACGGUACCCAAAGAAUAAGCACCGGCUAACUUCGUG
This 492-nucleotide ribosomal RNA is filed under the name uncultured bacterium. RNAcentral describes it as "partial 16S ribosomal RNA". It matches the Rfam family "Bacterial small subunit ribosomal RNA", at positions 29 to 507 of the family's 1533-position model. The record is from RNAcentral.